Molecule: RNA transcript, 1469 nt
Organism: Equus caballus (horse)
Lineage: Eukaryota; Metazoa; Chordata; Mammalia; Perissodactyla; Equidae
Gene: MOGAT1
Gene name: monoacylglycerol O-acyltransferase 1
Source: RefSeq, a predicted model, not a curated record
GCGGAUGCUGAAGCCGAGCGCACGCACGAUGAUCGAUCCGCUAAAGAAGGGUCAGAUCCCAGUGGAGACCCCAGGUCCUGGGCAGGGCGGCAGGAGCCCACGCUGCUGAGCCACCAGCUGACCCCUCUCGCUGUCCCUUGUGCCCAACGCGGCGCGCUCUCGCCAGCGAACGCGCCCCAGGCGCUCGGGACCAGGCGCGCGUGAUUGGCAGCCCCAACCUCCGCCCGGGCGGGCCCUCCCACCCAAGGCGUACUUCAGUCCCCGCCCACUCCCGGGCCGCCACCUCCUCCUGGUCCCCGUAGCCGGCGUUGCGGCGCAGCGAGGUUCCAGGCGGCCCCAGGUCGGCGCGAUCCUCGCCCGAACGGAGACAUGAAGAUCGAAUUCGCGCCGCUCAACAUCCCGCUGGCGCGGCGGCUGCAGACGGCGGCGGUGCUGCAGUGGGUGCUCACCUUCCUGCUGCUCGCACAGGUGUGCACUGGAAUCUUCGUGAUACUGAUCAUACGUAACUAUUGGUUCCUCUACAUUCCUUAUUUGACGUGGUUGUACUUUGACCGGCGUACCCCAGAGCAAGGAGGCAGGAGAUCCAACUGGGUCAGAAACUGGACCGUUUGGAGGUACUUUAAGGACUAUUUUCCGAUUCACGUCCUCAAAACUUGGGAUUUGAAUCCAAGUCACAACUACAUAUUCGGGUUUCACCCCCAUGGAGUGCUUGUUGCUGGAGCCUUUGGAAACUUUUGUACCAAUUAUUCAGACUUCAAGGAGCUGUUUCCCGGCUGUACUGCAUAUGUUCACUUGCUCCCGUUUUGGUUCUGGUGUCCUUUCUUCCGAGAAUAUGUGCUGAGCUUUGGGGCAGUCUCAGUUUCUAAGAGAAGUGUGUCCCACGUGCUGAGCAAGGAGGGAGGUGGGAACAUUUCAGUGAUUAUCCUUGGGGGCGCCAAAGAAUCGCUGGAUGCUCAUCCUGGAAAAUUCACUCUGUUCAUCCGCCAGCGGAAAGGAUUUGUUAAGCUGGCUUUGACCCAUGGUGCCUCUUUAGUCCCUGUGUUUUCUUUUGGUGAAAAUGAACUAUUUAAGCAAGUUAGCAACCCUGAAGGCUCAUGGCUUCGAACUGUGCAGGAGAAACUACAGAAGAUCAUGGGGUUUGCUCUACCAUUGUUCCACGCCAGAGGGAUUUUUCAGUACAGUUUUGGCAUAGUGCCUUAUAGGAAGCCUAUCCACACUGUUGGCGUGAGCAGUUUUGAAGAGUAGAGCUCACUUGUUUUGUACAAUGUUCUUCAACUUGGGUUGGUGUGUUUCAUCAUGCUUAUAUUCCGGUUAUGCAUAUUUGACAAGAAUCCCACAGAAAUGGCAUUGCGUCCUCCUCGUUGGCCGCCCAAUUCCUGUUCAGCAGACUCUGCACCCGACUCCAGAGCAGAUUGAGGAGUUGCAUAAGACCUAUAUGGAGGAGCUAAGGAAAUUAUUUGAGGAGCAUA